RNAcentral lists this ribosomal RNA (429 nucleotides) under Chloroflexota bacterium. Its description in RNAcentral is "Chloroflexi bacterium partial 16S ribosomal RNA". It matches the Rfam family "Bacterial small subunit ribosomal RNA", at positions 355 to 776 of the family's 1533-position model. Lineage: Bacteria; Bacillati; Chloroflexota. The record is from RNAcentral.
UGGGGAAUAUUUCACAAUUGGCGCAAGCCUGAUGCAGCCAUGCCGCGUGUAUGAAGAAGGCCUUCGGGUUGUAAAGUACUUUCAGUCGGGAGGAAGGUGGUAAGGUUAAUAACCUUGGCAAUUGACGUUACCGACAGAAGAAGCACCGGCUAACUCCGUGCCAGCAGCCGCGGUAAUACGGAGGGUGCAAGCGUUAAUCGGAAUUACUGGGCGUAAAGCGUACGCAGGCGGUUGAUUGAGUCAGAUGUGAAAUCCCCGGGCUUAACCCGGGAAUUGCAUCUGAUACUGGUCAGCUAGAGUCCUGUAGAGGGGGGUAGAAUUCCAUGUGUAGCGGUGAAAUGCGUAGAGAUGUGGAGGAAUACCGGUGGCGAAGGCGGCCCCCUGGACAAAGACUGACGCUCAGGUGCGAAAGCGUGGGGAGCAAACAGG